This 24-nucleotide microRNA is filed under the name Oikopleura dioica. RNAcentral describes it as "odi-miR-1484". Lineage: Eukaryota; Metazoa; Chordata; Appendicularia; Copelata; Oikopleuridae. The record is from miRBase by way of RNAcentral.
UGAAACUUCGUAGAUUUGGUCACU